Molecule: ribosomal RNA, 525 nt
Filed under: Staphylococcus aureus
Lineage: Bacteria; Bacillati; Bacillota; Bacilli; Caryophanales; Staphylococcaceae
Description: partial 23S ribosomal RNA
Rfam family: Bacterial large subunit ribosomal RNA
Source: RNAcentral
UGCCGAGAAAAGCCUCUAGAUAGAAAAUAGGUGCCCGUACCGCAAACCGACACAGGUAGUCAAGAUGAGAAUUCUAAGGUGAGCGAGCGAACUCUCGUUAAGGAACUCGGCAAAAUGACCCCGUAACUUCGGGAGAAGGGGUGCUCUUUAGGGUUAACGCCCAGAAGAGCCGCAGUGAAUAGGCCCAAGCGACUGUUUAUCAAAAACACAGGUCUCUGCUAAACCGUAAGGUGAUGUAUAGGGGCUGACGCCUGCCCGGUGCUGGAAGGUUAAGAGGAGUGGUUAGCUUCUGCGAAGCUACGAAUCGAAGCCCCAGUAAACGGCGGCCGUAACUAUAACGGUCCUAAGGUAGCGAAAUUCCUUGUCGGGUAAGUUCCGACCCGCACGAAAGGCGUAACGAUUUGGGCACUGUCUCAACGAGAGACUCGGUGAAAUCAUAGUACCUGUGAAGAUGCAGGUUACCCGCGACAGGACGGAAAGACCCCGUGGAGCUUUACUGUAGCCUGAUAUUGAAAUUCGGCACAG